AUGCUGUCCCAAUUUUGCACAAGAAUAGAAAACCACCAACCUGCAUCAAGAAAGCAAGAAGAAGUGAACAAAAACAAUUUCAACCCUUCUAUUUCAAGGCACAGCAUAAUCCCUCAUCUGGAAAUUCCCCCUUCAAAAACAGAACAAACACAAUUCCGCCUUCCUUCCAUCUCCCUCUGUUAUGUUCAUCUUCCACGAAGUUCUCCACAAACCAGCCAUCAUCUCCAUUACAUACUCAACUAACCUUCACUCCAAACACUCCAUACCCCCUCAUAAACCAGAAAUCUUCAUCACCUUUUUAA
Molecule: long non-coding RNA, 302 nt
Filed under: Vicia faba (fava bean)
Lineage: Eukaryota; Viridiplantae; Streptophyta; Magnoliopsida; Fabales; Fabaceae
Source: RNAcentral